This 72-nucleotide transfer RNA is filed under the name Heterocephalus glaber (naked mole-rat). It matches the Rfam family "tRNA". Rfam says of the family: Transfer RNA (tRNA) molecules are approximately 80 nucleotides in length. Their secondary structure includes four short double-helical elements and three loops (D, anti-codon, and T loops). The record is from Rfam by way of RNAcentral. Lineage: Eukaryota; Metazoa; Chordata; Mammalia; Rodentia; Bathyergidae.
GGGCAUGUAGCUCAAUGGUAGAGCACUCUCCUAGCAAGUGCUGGGCCCUGGGUUUAAUCCCUAGCACUACCA